GGGAAAUUUAAUGUGUAUCUUGUGUAUAUCUAUAUGCAACGGUUAAACAUUGCUAACGAAAAACGAUUUUGAGUGGAAUUCAGUUCUGCAUGUUUUAAAAGGCCGUUAAAAAAUAAUAAUAAACUUCAUUAUAAAACCAAUACAUUCCUCGCUACGCUCAGAAUCUAAAAUAACGGGGAACAUGAAUAUGUAGGUAUAAUUUUCUAUAGAAAUAUUUAACAAAAAAAUUAAAACAAACACACAUACAUUAUAUUACUGAUAGAUAUUACCCAUAGUGUACCUAUAUGUAAUGGUUUAUUUUUUAAAUAUAUAGGUAUUGAAUAUCAAC
Non-coding RNA from Cinara cedri, 328 nucleotides. Lineage: Eukaryota; Metazoa; Arthropoda; Insecta; Hemiptera; Aphididae. The record is from the annotation of a GenBank genome assembly.